Molecule: ribosomal RNA, 496 nt
Filed under: uncultured bacterium
Lineage: Bacteria
Description: partial 16S ribosomal RNA
Rfam family: Bacterial small subunit ribosomal RNA
Source: RNAcentral
ACGAACGCUGGCGGCGUGCCUAAUACCUGCAAGUUGAGCGCUGAAGAUUGGUGCUUGCACCAAUUUGAAGAGCAGCGAACGGGUGAGUAACGCGUGGGGAAUCUGCCUUUGAGCGGGGGACAACAUUUGGAAACGAAUGCUAAUACCGCAUAACAACUUUAAACAUAAGUUUUAAGUUUGAAAGAUGCAAUUGCAUCACUCAAAGAUGAUCCCGCGUUGUAUUAGCUAGUUGGUGAGGUAAAGGCUCACCAAGGCGAUGAUACAUAGCCGACCUGAGAGGGUGAUCGGCCACAUUGGGACUGAGACACGGCCCAAACUCCUACGGGAGGCAGCAGUAGGGAAUCUUCGGCAAUGGACGAAAGUCUGACCGAGCAACGCCGCGUGAGUGAAGAAGGUUUUCGGAUCGUAAAACUCUGUUGGUAGAGAAGAACGUUGGUGAGAGUGGAAAGCUCAUCAAGUGACGGUAACUACCCAGAAAGGGACGGCUAACUACGUG